RNAcentral lists this long non-coding RNA (1346 nucleotides) under Ursus maritimus (polar bear). RNAcentral's name for it is "lncRNA (ENSUMAG00000015331.1)". Lineage: Eukaryota; Metazoa; Chordata; Mammalia; Carnivora; Ursidae. The record is from RNAcentral.
AUUAAACGACACCGUGUCUGUCAUUGCCAACGGAUGAGAUCACAGCAGGCUGUCCUGACUCAUUAGCUACCUAUGACAUAGUUACAGGCAUGGCUUCCCCAAACGUGUUUAUGGAUUGAAGAUCUGAUAGAGACAGGAAGAUGAGCUCAAGGAUGAAAGCGGGGAAGUAGUCAGCUUUAAAACAAAAAUGAGAAAUCCUGGAGACGUGAAGGGUCUCAUGGAGCCUACCAGUAACUUGCUGAUUGUCUUUUUUAUCCUCACUUUAAUGUUUACCAUCGUUAAUCACAAAGUGUCAUGACCAUAGAGUAACAUAACAGGGGAUGUGGAGGCACUGUCUGGGUUUGAAUCCGGUUCCUCCAUUUACUGUUGGCUUGGACGAAUGACUUCACCUCUCUGUGCCUGGUUUUCCUAUCUGUAAAACGGAGGUGGUGGUGUAUACCUCAUAGAGUUGUAACGACCACAAGUGACUGAGUUGCUGUCCAUGAAGAGAGCGGUGCCUGGCAUAUAGCAAGCACCCUAUUUAUGGUUAAAGAAAAUCCUUCUCUAGAUUGACAGACACUCUCCCGUGAGGGUCGCCUCUAGGAUACAUGGCAUCCUGACAUUCUUUCUUUGUGACGCUUACCCUGCUGCCUUUCCUUUCCAUCCUCCCUGUCUCUGCUCCCUCUGCCCUCUUAACAGAACCCUUCUUCACAGCCUCCCAACAGAUUUCCCUCCAAUCUCCGUUUCUGCCAGUUCAUCCUUGGCCCCGGGGGACACAUUAAAUCUUCCUCAAACAACCCUUUGCACGGCAUUCUCACCCACCCGCCUCUGCUCAGACCCUCCCCUCCCUUGCCACUUUGCAAAGCGAUGUUCAAAUUCCUCAGCUUGACUGUCAAGACCUCUGUGGUUGCCUUUAGCCCUUCAUUGCUCCCUACUUGCCUACACAAACUUUUUUUUUAAAUAACCAAAUCAGUCUAUUCAUUGCCUCCAUACUGGUCAUACCUACACCCACCCAGACGACACCAUUUCCUCCACUCCCAAGCCUGGAAUGUUCUUCCCAUGACUUCAAGGUCUGGGAAAGACACUCUGAGAAGUGAGAGAAAGGCACCAAAAUGGAGACUGGGGAAUAUCAAAAGCAGAUUUUGCAUUUCUAACUUGACUUGGCCAUGAUCCCAGGAAUGGGGGAAGGAUUCUCUCCCUCCUCCUUCUCUUAGAAGGCAUAGAGCACGGAGGUUACGAGCAUGGGCUCUGGCUCUGUUAAUUCCUGGUUGGGCAAGUUACUUAUCUGCUCUGUGCCUCGGUUUUACUCAUCUGUAAAAGGGAGGUAGCAACACUUUACCUUUUACCUAGUACCUUCUGGAAUGGAU